UGCAUGUUACAUUUUAAUUUUUUUUUUCUCAUGCCAAGAAAUACAAAGAAAGUAUAUAAGAUAUACCAUACCAUCCUGCAGAAAAAGAAACAUUUGUCAGCCAAGAGAAGCACCCAGCUGCAAUUCCUGCUGUGUUCAUGCUGUGUGUGAGCUGUGGCUCUCCCGGGGGGGGAUGGACCUUGCACUUCCAUGCCAAGGAUCAAGUCCUGGCACCUCCUAAGGGCUCCCAGGUGGUAUCAGGGCUGCCUUGGUGAAUCCUGCACACGUUCCCUUUUUGAUGUUUCUUAUCCUGGAUGUGUAUUUACAGGUUGGGGUUUUGCUACCUACUGGUGUAAAUGCUUUACAAACAUUCCCACUUUGAAAAGGCUGCUCUGCCCCCCACACCCCCCUGGAUUUGUGCCCAGUCCAAACCUAAACCUAACUGGUUUUUGCCAAAAUUAAAGGCUGGAUACUGAAAGGGAAACGAGCUUAAAUCUGAAUAAUUUCAUUUAAAGGGCAACCCUGGCUGUUGUUCUGUGACGAGUCACAAAGCGACAGGGCAAGGGUGGGGCCAGCCCAGCGGUGCCUUUCUGCAGCCUCUCCCUGGGCUCGGAAUGGGCAGAAAUGCAGAUUCCAUUCUCUAGAAAAGGCAGGAUCUGCUCUCUUUAGCCUACAUGGAGAAAUGUGGGGGUCAGACCUCCCUGCCCCCUUCCAGCAGAGCCCAGAGAUGAGAUCUCAUUGCAGCAGGACCUGUCUGGGGGAAAGGAGGGACAGAGGGAGGGGGAAGAGCUGAGGGACUCAGGGGAGCUCUGGGGGUGGGAUGCUGAGGGGACAGCGUGGUAAAACCAGCAAAGAGCAGAGGAGGGAACUGGAACAGGGUGAAACACCAGCCAGAAAAAGCAAACCCAUCCCUAACACAGCAAACUUUGAAGCCCUUUGGUGCCUUUCUUUCCCUGCUGGUGCUGCUGUGACCCCACUGACUCAGGCAGACCUUUCCUGCCCCUGGGUCACUGCAUCCCACCAGGGGCUGCUACAAAACCAAGUUUGUUGCUGGUUCAGCUUAAAGCUUCAAUCCAGCAGCCAGCAGCCCUUCUGUGCCACCCCACAGAGCCCAGCUCUGCCCCAAAUCCUGGCAAAGAAGGCCAGGGACAGCAGUGCCAGGGAGAGGAAAGGGCUCAUGGCACAGCUUUUGUGGUUGCCCUCCUGUCUGCUAAAAGCUGAGUUAAGGAGAGUUCCCUGGGGGUGGCUGAGCCUGGUGGCCUCAGGGUGAAGUUCUGCCAUCAUCAACCUCACUGUGACCCUGCUCAGGUGAGGGCUGGGGGCUCUGCAGCCUCCUCCUGCACAAAUAUGAGCAAAUUCCACCCAAAAAGAGCCACAGAGGGAGCUGAGCUGGGAUAAAACCGUGGGGGAUGGGGAGAGCAAAGUGGCAAAAGCUUUGCAGAACAGGCUGCAAAAUGUGUGGAGAAAUUGAUGGGGGAGAAGGGACUUGGUGGGUGUCCCUGGAGAGUUUAUUCCUCCAGCAUUGGAGGGGCAGGUUACAAGCACAGUAAAUAUUUUGUCAGGGGUAACUGUAGAGGGUUUCCUCUGGAGUGAAAUGCAGGAUAAGAAGAAAAAAAAAAAAAAAAAAAAAGCUGAGUUUAAGGGUACAAUUGUAUCUCUUCAGGAAGAUUUUAGAAUGAAAAGGAUUCAAGUGACUUAGUCCUUCUCUUUUGCUGUACUUAAUAGUGAGGGGAGAAGCAUCGCCCAAGCUGUCCAAUGAGACAGGAGGCACAAACAAAUCACCACCCUGGGGUUUUUGGGGAAAUCUUCUGCCUUCUCCUGCACCCAGGGGUGUCCUGGUACCUCCACUGCUCUGCUGGCCUGGCCUGGCAGCUCUCCUGGCAAGGAGCACUGCAGCUGCCUCACAAAGCCCCUCCUUCCCCUGCCUGCAGGAAUCCCAUUUGGAGCCACAGUGGGGCACAGUUUGUCCAGAUCCCACUGAAAAAAACCCCAGAUUCCAAGGAAAUCUGUGCUCAUAGAUGGUUCUGUUAAGGAGGAGGAAGAAAAGGGGGUUGGUUUGGGAGCUGCUCAGUGCCUGAGCAUUUGCCAUCCCUGCAAUUAGAGCAGUAAUGUGAACCCACCUCAUGGGGGGUGGCAGGGUUAAAUCCUUUGGAUGCAGAGAAGCACUUUAGAUGAAAGGCUUUAUAUAAUGAUAAAAGAGCAUUUAAAUCCUUACUUAAUAAACGCUCAGUGCUCUCAAGUCCUAUAACUCCCUCCAGCACUUUUCCCUGAAAAAAGGACCCUUCCUGCUCAAGGAGGAGCUUCCUGGGCUCUUCCCAUCAGCUGAAUUCCAGCAGCUCCAAGGGCAAAGGGCAGGAGAUGCAGGGACAGGCAGCACUGCCCUUAUGUAGCUCCAAAAAUCCCCCCAUGUAUCCCCCAGCAAGCAGCUCUUGAGUCCAAGAGUUAAAGAAGGAAACAUUUGGGGGAUUUGAUGGGAUUUCAAUAGUCAUAAGAUGAGUUUGAACAUCCAAGGGAGGGGUUCUGAAGGGCUCAGGAGGAAAAGAUGCAGUUCCUGGAUGGAGGAUGGAGGAGGGAGCUCCCACCCAGCAAUGCUCAGCAGCCCCUGUUUGCUGAACUCACAAAAGAUAAAUUGCAGAAGAAAAGUGGCAGAUUUGGUCCAUUUUAGGUGCCAGCAGUUUGUGAUGGAGUGCUGGCAAAGGGGUGGAUGGGAAUGGAGCCCGAGAAAGUGCUGUAGUGAUGUGCUAUUGCUGUGAGCCCCUGGCAUCCCUUUUAGAGGAGAGAAAAACGUUGACAGCGUGUCUGGGGGAUUUGGCUUUCUCACCCCCUGGAUUCAAACAACAUCUAGAGGAAAAAACCACUUGGAAGAGGAGCAAUCAAAAAGGUGACAGGAGAAUUUUCACAGAGAUGCCCGUGGCUUUGCACAUUAGCUACUACAGAGUAACUACAGCGUGGAUUUACACUUCACCCCUACCCAGCAGCCCAGGGAAGGAGUCAGUGCCAAGCAGUUACCGCGUUGUGAGGUUUCUUUUAGUGGAUUCUCCAUGUAGACAAGCCCUGGGAAGCACUGAAUUUGCUCUAAAUGUGGGGUGUUUUUCAGGAGAUUGCUGUUAGGGAGCAGAAGUGCCCUGCAGGACAACAUUUCUCAGCCAGUCCCUGUUUUUAUGUCGCAGGUUGUCAGCUGGAGGCAACAGAAAGGUCGGGCAGUGCAGCUCUUGGUCGUGUGUCCCCAAAGUUUGGAUCAAAGAGACUCAGGGAGCCAAAGGACGUGGCCAGAAGUCACAAAGCCUGGCUGAAACAACAGGCAAUGGAGCUUUGCAUAGUCUGGGUGGGUGGGGAGAGGGCCAAGCCCAGGAAAUCCCCACAGCAAUGAGGGGAGAGCAGGGAGGAGAAGGGCUGGGGCUGGAUGGAGCAUGUGGGGAUUUGGUCCCACAGGGAUGGGCUGAGG
RNAcentral lists this long non-coding RNA (3424 nucleotides) under Taeniopygia guttata (zebra finch). Its description in RNAcentral is "lncRNA (ENSTGUG00000023425.1)". Lineage: Eukaryota; Metazoa; Chordata; Aves; Passeriformes; Estrildidae. The record is from RNAcentral.